GACAAUAAUAAUUCAACUUUAUUAUAUAAUCAUAGAAAGAGUAGAGCCUGAUAAAUAGAAUGGAGAAACAAAAGGGAGUUUAUUUACAAGAUUUGUGGAUCAUUACCAUCACUAGUUGAAAGGAAGCACUAAUAGACUAAUUAAGUUGAUAAUGACAACAAAACAUCUACAUCAUUUAAUCAAUUUGACAAGAAAUUUUGGAUCAUAAUUAUUAUUUUUUUCUCCCAACAGCAGCAGUACUAAGGCAUUGAUACAUUAUGUUAAGCUGUGACAGAUGUCUCAACAGCAACACCUGAGUAGUUAACUUCAGCCACCCUGUCAACUUCCCAAAGUUGUGGUAAUGCUUCCCUUAUGUUGUGGAUGCUUUCUAAUGCAUAAUCUGCUCCUACAACUCUUUGUGAAUUGCCAACCUGAAAAUAACAAGCAACAACACUACAACAUUAGCAACACAACAAAACAAGAGGUAACGGGUUCGAGCCCUAGGUUCAGCCACUGAUGCUUGCAUUAGAUUAGGCAGCUCGAGCCCUAGGUUCAGCCACUGAUGCUUGCAUUAGAUUAGGCAGCCUACAUCACACCUCUUAGUGUACGGUCCCUCCCCUGUGAGAACAUGAGAUGCUUUGUGCACUGGACUGCUUUUAGUGCACAAGAUUGCUCCAGUAAAUACUAUUCCCUCUGUUUCAUUUGUUAUGAUAGUGUUUGACAUGCACAUACUUUUUGAAAGAAAAUUUCGCCCACGUACCGUAAAAUAAUCUCUAGAAUGACUUGUCGUCUUAAACAUGCCAUGAUAAUUUUAUGGUUAUAAGAGCAUGUUAUUAAUGGUUAAAUGCAAAAUUGAAGUUAAAGAAUUUCCGAAUAUAUAAUGGUGCCAUUAUUUUUCAGACCGAAAAGAAAAGAGUAUCAUAGAAAAUAAAACAUAAGGAAUACAACUUACCAGUACUGUAUCAAGACCAACACGCUUGCCAGCUUGAAUGUUACGGACACUAUCUUCAAAGAAAAGCUGAAAAAAUGGAAACAUUCCAAAUCA
RNAcentral lists this long non-coding RNA (1024 nucleotides) under Nicotiana tabacum (common tobacco). RNAcentral's name for it is "long non-coding RNA (NTAB_LNC006906)". The record is from RNAcentral. Lineage: Eukaryota; Viridiplantae; Streptophyta; Magnoliopsida; Solanales; Solanaceae.